UACGUAGGGUGCAAGCGUUGUCCGGAAUUAUUGGGCGUAAAGAGCUCGUAGGCGGUCUGUCGCGUCGGAUGUGAAAAUCCAGGGCUCAACCCUGGACCUGCAUUCGAUACGGGCAGACUAGAGUUCGGUAGGGGAGACUGGAAUUCCUGGUGUAGCGGUGAAAUGCGUAGAGAUCAGGAGGAACACCCGUGGCGAAGGCGGCACGCUGGGCCGGCCCUGACGCUGAGGCGCGAAAGCGUGGGGAGCGAACAGG
This 253-nucleotide ribosomal RNA is filed under the name uncultured bacterium. Its description in RNAcentral is "partial 16S ribosomal RNA". It matches the Rfam family "Bacterial small subunit ribosomal RNA", at positions 524 to 776 of the family's 1533-position model. The record is from RNAcentral.